This 400-nucleotide ribosomal RNA is filed under the name uncultured archaeon. RNAcentral's name for it is "bacterial SSU rRNA". It matches the Rfam family "Archaeal small subunit ribosomal RNA", at positions 1 to 407 of the family's 1478-position model. The record is from RNAcentral.
UUCCGGUUGAUCCUGCCGGAGGUUACUGCUAUUGGAAUCCGAUUAAGCCAUGCGAGUCGAUCGGGUCAGACCCGAGGCGCACUGCUCAGUAACACGUGGAGAAUCUGCCCUUAGGUGAGGAAUAACCUCGGGAAACUGAGAAUAAUACCUCAUAGGUUAUGGAUGCUGGAAUGCUUCAUAGCCCAAAGCCCCGGCGCCUAAGGAUGACUCUGCGGACUAUCAGGUAGUAGUCAGGGUAAGGACCUGACUAGCCUACGACGGAUACGGGGUGUGAGAGCACUAGCCCGGAGAUGGAUUCUGAGACACGAAUCCAGGCCCUACGGGGUGCAGCAGGCGCGAAACUUCCGCAAUGCUCGCCAGAGUGACGGAGGGAUUCCAAGUGCCUAUGCUAUGCGUAGGC